GAUGAACGCUGGCGGCGUGCCUAAUACAUGCAAGUCGAGCGGUAAGGUCCCUUCGGGGAUACACGAGCGGCGGACGGCUGAGUAACACGUAGGAACGUACCCCAAAGUGAGGGAUAAGCACCAGAAAUGGUGUCUAAUACCGCAUGUGCUCUAAGGAGUAAAGCUUCGGCGCUUUGGGAACGGCCUGCGUCCGAUUAGCUAGUUGGUGAGGUAAUAGCUCACCAAGGCGACGAUCGGUAGCUGGUCUGAGAGGAUGAUCAGCCAGACUGGGACUGAGACACGGCCCAGACUCCUACGGGAGGCAGCAGUAGGGAAUUUUCCACAAUGGGCGAAAGCCUGAUGGAGCAACGCCGCGUGCAGGAUGAAUGCCUUCGGGUUGUAAACUGCUUUUAUAUGUGACGAUUAUGACGGUAACAUAUGAAUAAGGAUCGGCUAACUCCGUGCCAGCCGCCGCGGUAA
Molecule: ribosomal RNA, 459 nt
Filed under: uncultured bacterium
Lineage: Bacteria
Description: partial 16S ribosomal RNA
Rfam family: Bacterial small subunit ribosomal RNA
Source: RNAcentral